Molecule: RNA transcript, 4273 nt
Organism: Homo sapiens (human)
Lineage: Eukaryota; Metazoa; Chordata; Mammalia; Primates; Hominidae
Gene: ATG12
Gene name: autophagy related 12
Exons: 6
Source: RefSeq, marked validated
GUCUCCAAGCAAGAUGGCGGAGGAGCCGCAGUCUGUGUUGCAGCUUCCUACUUCAAUUGCUGCUGGAGGGGAAGGACUUACGGAUGUCUCCCCAGAAACAACCACCCCGGAGCCCCCGUCUUCCGCUGCAGUUUCCCCGGGAACAGAGGAACCUGCUGGCGACACCAAGAAAAAAAUUGGUUGUGAAUUCACUCCUUAAACCAAAAACCAAAUUCUUAUGCAGAAUGAAGACUGCUAAGGGAAAGCUAAAGGCAUAGAUGUUACCUUUUUAAGAAACACAUUUUGGAACCUUUAUGACAGUGGUCUCUGGCCGGGCGCGGUGGCUCACUCCUGUAAUCCCAGCACUUUGGUAGGCUGAGGCGGGUGGAUCACCUGAGGUCAAGAGUUCGAGACCAGCCUGGCCAACAUGUUGACAUUUUGCUAAAGGCUGUGGGAGACACUCCUAUUAUGAAAACAAAGAAGUGGGCAGUAGAGCGAACACGAACCAUCCAAGGACUCAUUGACUUCAUCAAAAAGUUUCUUAAACUUGUGGCCUCAGAACAGUUGUUUAUUUAUGUGAAUCAGUCCUUUGCUCCUUCCCCAGACCAAGAAGUUGGAACUCUCUAUGAGUGUUUUGGCAGUGAUGGUAAACUGGUUUUACAUUACUGCAAGUCUCAGGCGUGGGGAUGAACCACAAAGAAAAUCAACUUGCUACUACAUGAAAUGGAUUUUCACGGAAGAGACAGCUCUGAAAAGUUUUGAUGCUUGUGGCAAGAGACUUAACAGAUGUGAUCUAUUUAGUAUGUGUCUACUCUAUGUUUAUGCAUAAGAAAACAUCCAUAGCAUGAAUGGACUCAGAAAAAUGUGAUUUGUAUUAAUGCACCAGUCAUCAUAAAAGAUGGUCAUGAUAGUACACCCAUUGCUCCUACUUGUUACUAUUAUUGCUGCAGAUCUGCCUCCAAGGUUGAAAAGGAGACUAAGACUGUAUAAACAUCUUCAUUGUCAGUUCUCAAAAUGACUGAAAUUGUUUUCAUGGUAAAAGUUAAUAUACUAAAGGGUUCCUUUUUUUUUAAUGUUUACAUUUAUCUCUAUGUUUACCUUUUUAGUCACAUUGACCUGCUGGCUGAAUACCUCAAAUAGUCCAGUAGAGGGCAGUCCACCAGGCAGAAAAGGUUAGGCGUUUUGGUUUCACAUCUUUGCUGGGGAAUAAUAGGGGAAAUGGCUGUUUUUGCUAAUUUUUAGCUAAUAUCUAGCCAGGAGAGCAAGCACAUAGGACAGACUGAAAGACUGUAAUUUUACACAAUACACAUGGCUUAAUUAUUUUAUUGGGAUACAGAAAAAUAUAAAUUCUGGACAAAUAAGUCAUAUACCUGUUUUCAGUCCUAACAUUUAAGGAUUCUUGAGUCCCAAUCACAUAACUGUGGUGUUACUCUGUCAUUUAUAUGGUGUCAAAAGCACUUGAUGAGUAAACCCAGUAGCAUCUUUUUGAGUGUUUCAUAAUGCAUUUUCCAACUUGAAAACAAUAAUUGAAAAAUAGCCUUAUUGUAUAUUUUAUGCCAUGACUAAAAGUGCCAUUUUUACUGAUGCUAUUAGACUGAUAAUUUCUUGAAGUGAAAUUUAACCUUUUUUUCUCUUUAGUAUUAUGUUUAUAAUGCCAUAUUUUUAGAAAGCAUUCCAGAUCAGGCAUGGUGGCUUACACCUGUAAUCCCAGCACUUUGGAAGGCUGAGGUGUGGGGAUUGCGUGAAGCCACAAGUUUGAGACCAGCCUGGUUAGCAAGGCAAGAUCCCCAACUCUACAAAAAAAUAAAAAUUAAAAAAAAAUUAUUAGGCUGCAGAGGCAAGAGGAUCCCCUGAGCCCAGAAGUUCAAGGGUAUAGUGAGUCGUGAUUGUACCACUGCAUUCCUGCUGAGCAACAGAGUGAGACCCCAUCUCAAAAAAGAAAAAAAAAGGCAUUCUAGUAAAUCGAAUGUAAUGUGAAUGGAAUUUCAAAACAGGAUCUAAGAUGGUAUGUAGUAGAAUUCAAAGUAAUAUCAUUUUAAAGUUAAAUGAGUAUGGAAAAGGUCUGUUCUCUAGUUUUGUCCAGUUCAGUUUACUGAAGGAAUAUAUUUAAUUAUAUUCAUAUAUUUAACAAAUAAAAAUAUGUUGAAUUUUCGUAUUGUUUGCCACUGAGGGUUCAGAUGAUAGACCUCAAAAAAUCGAAAAUACUGGUUGAAAUUUGUAGCAUCCAUUUAGUUAUUCUUUUUGACCUAAAUAACUUAAUAGUUUAUUAAAUCUAAGGUUAGCUAAAUAUGUAGCUAACCUUAUUUGUUUUCUUUCCUAACAACUCUGAAGAAUACAUAGGACUUUGCACUUUUUUUUUUUUUUUUUUUUUUUAAAGAGACAGCGUUUCGGUCUUGUUGCCCAGGCUGGACUGUAAUGGCACAAUCUUGGCUCAUUGCAACCUCUACCUCCCGGGUUCAAGUGAUUCUCCUGCCUCAGCCUCCUGAGUAGCUGGGAUUACAGGCACCUGCCACCACACCCGCCUAAUUUUUUGUUAUUUUUAGUGGAGACAGGGUUUUACCAUUUUGGCCAGGCUGGUCUCAAACUCCUGACUGACCUCAGGUGAUCCACCCGCCUUGGCCUCCCAAAGUGCUGGGAUUAUAGGUGUGAGCCACCGUGCCGGGCCUGGACUUUGUACUUUUUCAAAUCAUAUUUAAUUAUUUCUUGAUCUUUACUCAAAGAAUUAUUCUGCGCUAAAUUUGCAACAUUAAACAAUAAUUAAGCCUGGAUCCGAUAAGUUAUUGGGUGACUAGAACCUACAACACAAUUUAUUUUUAAUUUAAACUCUCAAGUCUGAUUAAACUUGGGGGAAAAACUGAACAUUCAGGUGAUAUUUUAAAUUUUCUUUGUGACUAAAUAGAUGUCAUUAAUAUCAUGCUUCAUCUUACUGUGCAUAGAUGACCCAUGGCACACAAAGUAUAUGUAUAAUAUUGCAAUAUUGUACUUCCAUCUUUAAAAGUAUGCCAAAGACUUCAUAAUGAAUUCACCAUAUUUAAGGAAUAAGGCAAAUUAAUGUUUAUCCGAAAUCAAAAUGAGAUUGGAUAAUUCCUGGAAUCUGAUUUCUGUAAGUUUCAGUCCUAAAGGGACCUUAAAUAUCUACUAGAACGAAGUACAGUGUAUUUCUCAGAUUACAUGACAUUAGUCAACCAAUUUAGUUGUAACACAAAGUGAGAAAGCCUUAGGUGUUGAAGGAGUGUGAAAAUAAAAAUCUCUUUUCAUGCAGUUUCUGCUUCAUUUUCCAAGGAUUAUAAUAUGCUGAGUAAACUUUUGGCACUAAGGAAGCCAGCUACAGGCCACGUAAUGAAAACUAUUCAGAAAACAGUUCAGCAAAUACUACUAUUUGAAUACAGUUCAAAUCGUAUUUAUAUAAAUACUCUGCCUACAUUAUUUAACCCAAACUGGAUUAUUCACCAUUCUUUGAAGAUGCCUUGUGUUUUCUGUUAUCUACUUCUGCUCGUGCAGUUUACUUACACCUUCACCCUUUCAAAUCCUAACUCUUCUUCAAGGCCUGAUUCAGAUUUUAACUUUUUAAAGGCUAUCUGAAUCAUUCAAGGAGAAGAUACCCUUUCUCUCAUAAAAACACUUAGAGCAAACUACCACUAUUAAAUCACUUAUUGCAUACUGCCUCAGAGCCAUGUGUCCAGUUAUUCUGGUUUUUAUCUGGUACCCACACACACAUAAUACUUAGUACAUUUCCUUAUAUGUAAAUAAUUAGUAAUGUAACACAUCGAGUGAAUGAAAUUGUGAUUAGCAAAGUAUGACAGCUAAAAACAAAGGAAAUUUUGUAUAGUUUAAGUUUUUGUACAGCAGAAGGUAAUGGAAAAUAUUUGCAACAUAUGACAGUGUUUUUAAUGUCUUAAGUAUAUGAAGAAUUUGUUUCAAUUGGUAAGAAAAGACCAACUGAAAAAUAGGCAAAACAUACCAAAUUUCGAUUCACAAAAAGAUACAAAUGGCCAACAAAACAUGAAACACCUUGAACCCCAUUGGUUACAAAAAAUACAAAUAAAAACAAUGCUGACUGACAAUAAAAAUAAUGUACAUCUUGCUAUUAGCAGAGUUGUGGGGAAAUCCUGUCAUAUUUUGGUGAAUAGAAUAUGAGUUGGUAUAUCACUUUUAGGGGGCCAUUUGGCAAUAUCAAAAACCUUGAAACGUAAGUAUAAACUUCAGUUUGUUCGUAUAACCUGUCAUUCACAUAUUGAGUGCCUACUAUGUCCUAAAUAUUGGAAUAACACUAAUAAAGCUCAUAAGAGACUAA